This 475-nucleotide ribosomal RNA is filed under the name Eimeria alabamensis. Its description in RNAcentral is "SSU rRNA". It matches the Rfam family "Eukaryotic small subunit ribosomal RNA", at positions 1328 to 1831 of the family's 1831-position model. The record is from RNAcentral. Lineage: Eukaryota; Apicomplexa; Conoidasida; Eucoccidiorida; Eimeriidae.
AUAACGAACGAGACCUUAGCCUGCUAAAUAGGAUCGGGAACCUCGGUUCUCGCAUCACUUCUUAGAGGGACUUUGCGUGUCUAACGCAAGGGAGUUUGAGGCAAUAACAGGUCUGUGAUGCCCUUAGAUGUUCUGGGCUGCACGCGCGCUACACUGAUGCAUGCAACGAGUUUUUGACCUUGGCCGGAAGGUCUAGGUAAUCUUUUGAGUAUGCAUCGUGAUGGGGAUAGAUUAUUGCAAUUAUUAAUCUUCAACGAGGAAUGCCUAGUAGGCGCAAGUCAGCAGCUUGUGCCGAUUACGUCCCUGCCCUUUGUACACACCGCCCGUCGCUGCAACCGAUCGAAGGGUCCUGUGAACUCGAUGGACAGCCCAUCCCCUUCUUGGGGUUGGGCUGGAAGUUGCGUAAAUAGAGCCCUUUAAAGGAUGCAAAAGUCGUAACACGGUUUCCGUAGGUGAACCUGCGGAAGGAUCAUUC